CAAAAUAAAACAGGAAACCAACCCAAACCGUGACAGCAAGUGCUGCAGUGACUUUGUCUGUUGGUAUUUUCUUAAGGGUCAACUGAAGAAAGAAUGCUUCCUAGAUGAAAAAAAAGGUCACACGCAGCCUCCCAUGAACCACGAGGAUCAUAUCUCCCCAUUCAUCACGUGCACAGCAUGAUCCAGGCAAGACUGAGAAGAGUCAUCUUUCAUGGGCCAGAACAAGAACACAACACCACAAAACAGAUAGGCACCUAAAACCGCUCGACACAACUGCUCCGUGCGUAGUAACCAAUGAGAGACUGGACAUCAUUUAUAAGACUGUUAUUUGUGAAGCAAUAUUCUUAGGAAGAGACCUGAC
Long non-coding RNA from Gasterosteus aculeatus aculeatus (three-spined stickleback), 361 nucleotides. NCBI's taxonomy places the organism in Eukaryota, Metazoa, Chordata, Actinopteri, Perciformes, Gasterosteidae. The record is from Ensembl.